Long non-coding RNA from Cyprinus carpio (common carp), 579 nucleotides. RefSeq lists it as uncharacterized. NCBI's taxonomy places the organism in Eukaryota, Metazoa, Chordata, Actinopteri, Cypriniformes, Cyprinidae. The transcript is spliced from 3 exons. The record is from RefSeq and is a predicted model, not a curated record.
UUAAUUUCGCCUGCAGCCGUAAUAAAAGUUUCUUUGGACUGCCUGCCUGAGUCUCAGAGCUCAAGUGAGAGAAGUCCAGGAUUGCGCAACCGGAGAUCAUCCGAGACCAUCAAGAUCACAUCCUCCGUGGAGGCUGCUGAGGUUCCUGACCAGUGCAGUUGGGAUGAUGGGCACUGCCCGGACAGGGACGACAUCUAGCGUGCAGGCCAAAGUGACAGCCGCCCAAGAAAGGUCAAAGGUUCCAAUGGCGGGGCGCUGCAGCAGCGGCUCAGCCAAUAGGAAUCCACUUGCGAGGGACACUCGACCAAUCAAAAGCUAGGAACCGGACCCGCUGGCUCGCGGAGUGUUUUUGAAUGGCUAGAAUAGAACAUAUGAGAAUAUAGCUUACACGUGGAUUGCGUUUUUGUGACUGUUUCUCUUUGCAAACAGUAGAAUGUCAAUAGUAUUUUUGUGAACAGCUUUAAUAAAAUGUUAUUCCGAUUUCAUGGACCAACAUAAUAUUAAAAUAUAUAAUAAAAUAUUCUGCACACAAAAUUGCAAAUUUGUUGUUUGAAAAAUGAAGUAAUUUGCUGAUAUUUU